This 77-nucleotide transfer RNA is filed under the name Pseudomonadota bacterium. Its description in RNAcentral is "tRNA-Val". It matches the Rfam family "tRNA". From Rfam's summary of the family: Transfer RNA (tRNA) molecules are approximately 80 nucleotides in length. RNAcentral also lists the same sequence under 2 other names. The record is from RNAcentral. Lineage: Bacteria; Pseudomonadati; Pseudomonadota.
GGGCGCGUAGUUCAGUUGGCUAGAACGCGCGGAUCACACCCGCGAGGUCACAGGUUCGAGUCCUGUCGCGCCCACCA